GGUUAAGUUAAUAAGGGCGCACGGUGGAUGCCUUGGCACUAGAAGCCGAAGAAGGACGUGACAAACGACGAAAUGCUUUGGGGAGCUGUAAGUAAGCGACGAUCCAGAGAUGUCCGAAUGGGGGAACCCACUAGCUGAUGGCUAGUACUCCUAUCUGUUAAGGAUAGGUAGAGGAAGACGCAGUGAACUGAAACAUCUAAGUAGCUGCAGGAAGAGAAAGCAAAAGCGAUUGCCUGAGUAGCGGCGAGCGAAAAGGCAGGAGGGCAAACCGAAGAGUUUACUCUUCGGGGUUGUAGGACUGCAAUGUGGACUUAAAGAUUAUAGAAGAAUGACAUGGGAAGGUCAGCCAAAGAGAGUAAGAGCCUCGUAUUCGAAAUAGUCUUUAUACCUAGCAGUAUCCUGAGUACGGCGGGACACGAGAAAUCCCGUCGGAAUCUGGGAGGACCAUCUCCCAACCCUAAAUACUCUCUAGUGACCGAUAGUGAACCAGUACCGUGAGGGAAAGGUGAAAAGCACCCCGGGAGGGGAGUGAAAUAGAACCUGAAACCGUGUGCCUACAACAAGUUCGAGCCCGUUAAUGGGUGAGAGCGUGCCUUUUGUAGAAUGAACCGGCGAGUUACGAUAUGAUGCGAGGUUAAGUUGAAGAGACGGAGCCGUAGGGAAACCGAGUCUGAAUAGGGCGAGUUAGUAUUAUGUCGUAGACCCGAAACCAUGUGACCUACCCAUGAGCAGGUUGAAGGUGAGGUAAAACUCACUGGAGGACCGAACCAGGGCACGUUGAAAAGUGCUUGGAUGACUUGUGGGUAGCGGAGAAAUUCCAAACGAACUUGGAGAUAGCUGGUUCUCUCCGAAAUAGCUUUAGGGCUAGCGUCGACAUUAAGAUUCUUGGAGGUAGAGCACUGUUUGGGUGAGGGGUCCAUCCCGGAUUACCAAUCUCAGAUAAACUCCGAAUGCCAAUGAAUUAUGGUCGGCAGUCAGACUGCGAGUGCUAAGAUCCGUAGUCGAAAGGGAAACAGCCCAGACCACCAGCUAAGGUCCCAAAAUAAUUGUUAAGUGGAAAAGGAUGUGGGGUUGCACAGACAACUAGGAUGUUAGCUUAGAAGCAGCUAUUCAUUCAAAGAGUGCGUAAUAGCUCACUAGUCGAGUGACCCUGCGCCGAAAAUGUACCGGGGCUAAAACAAUUUACCGAAGCUGUGGAUACCUUUAUAGGUAUGGUAGGAGAGCGUUCUAUGUGUGGAGAAGGUGUACCGUGAGGAGCGCUGGAACGCAUAGAAGUGAGAAUGCCGGUAUGAGUAGCGAAAGACAGGUGAGAAUCCUGUCCACCGUAAGACUAAGGUUUCCAGGGGAAGGCUCGUCCGCCCUGGGUUAGUCGGGACCUAAGGAGAGACCGAAAGGUGUAUCCGAUGGACAACAGGUUGAUAUUCCUGUACUAGAGUAUGUAGUGAAGGAGGGACGCAGUAGGCUAACUAAAGCGUGCGACUGGAAGUGCACGUCUAAGCAGUGAGGUGUGAAUUGAGUUAAAUGCUUAAUUCUAUAACAUUGAGCUGUGAUGGGGAGCGAAGUUUAGUAGCGAAGUUAGUGACGUCACACUGCCAAGAAAAGCUUCUAGCGUUAAUCAUACUCUACCCGUACCGCAAACCGACACAGGUAGUCGAGGCGAGUAGCCUCAGGUGAGCGAGAGAACUCUCGUUAAGGAACUCGGCAAAAUGACCCCGUAACUUCGGGAGAAGGGGUGCUGGCUUUCAGUCAGCCGCAGUGAAUAGGCCCAAGCAACUGUUUAUCAAAAACACAGCUCUCUGCUAAAUCGUAAGAUGAUGUAUAGGGGGUGACGCCUGCCCGGUGCUGGAAGGUUAAGAGGAGUGCUUAGCGUAAGCGAAGGUAUGAAUUGAAGCCCCAGUAAACGGCGGCCGUAACUAUAACGGUCCUAAGGUAGCGAAAUUCCUUGUCGGGUAAGUUCCGACCCGCACGAAAGGCGUAAUGAUUUGGGCACUGUCUCAACGAGAGACUCGGUGAAAUUUUAGUACCUGUGAAGAUGCAGGUUACCCGCGACAGGACGGAAAGACCCCAUGGAGCUUUAC
RNAcentral lists this ribosomal RNA (2078 nucleotides) under Pseudomonas aeruginosa. RNAcentral describes it as "partial 23S ribosomal RNA". It matches the Rfam family "Bacterial large subunit ribosomal RNA", at positions 1 to 2104 of the family's 2925-position model. Lineage: Bacteria; Pseudomonadati; Pseudomonadota; Gammaproteobacteria; Pseudomonadales; Pseudomonadaceae. The record is from RNAcentral.